This 492-nucleotide ribosomal RNA is filed under the name uncultured bacterium. Its description in RNAcentral is "partial 16S ribosomal RNA". It matches the Rfam family "Bacterial small subunit ribosomal RNA", at positions 29 to 507 of the family's 1533-position model. The record is from RNAcentral.
AGUGAACGCUGGCGGUAGGCCUAACACAUGCAAGUCGAACGGCAGCACAGUAAGAGCUUGCUCUUACGGGUGGCGAGUGGCGGACGGGUGAGGAAUACAUCGGAAUCUACUUUUUCGUGGGGGAUAACGUAGGGAAACUUACGCUAAUACCGCAUACGACCUACGGGUGAAAGCAGGGGAUCUUCGGACCUUGCGCGAUUGAAUGAGCCGAUGUCGGAUUAGUUAGUUGGGGGGGUAAAGGCCCACCAAGGCGACGAUCCGUAGCUGGUCUGAGAGGAUGAUCGGCCACACUGGAACUGAGACACGGUCCAGACUCCUACGGGAGGCAGCAGUGGGGAAUAUUGGACAAUGGGCGCAAGCCUGAUCCAGCCAUACCGCGUGGGUGAAGAAGGCCUUCGGGUUGUAAAGCCCUUUUGUUGGGAAAGAAAAGCAGCAGGUUAAUACCCCGCUGUUCUGACGGUACCCAAAGAAUAAGCACCGGCUAACUUCGUG